Molecule: ribosomal RNA, 468 nt
Filed under: uncultured bacterium
Lineage: Bacteria
Description: partial 16S ribosomal RNA
Rfam family: Bacterial small subunit ribosomal RNA
Source: RNAcentral
GACGAACGCUGGCGGCGUGCUUAACACAUGCAAGUCGAACGGAAAGGCCCUGCUUUUGUGGGGUGCUCGAGUGGCGAACGGGUGAGUAACACGUGAGUAACCUGCCCUUGACUUUGGGAUAACUUCAGGAAAAUGGGGCUAAUACCGGAUAGGAGCUCCUGCUGCAUGGUGGGGGUUGGAAAGUUUCGGCGGUUGGGGAUGGACUCGCGGCUUAUCAGCUUGUUGGUGGGGUAGUGGCUUACCAAGGCUUUGACGGGUAGCCGGCCUGAGAGGGUGACCGGCCACAUUGGGACUGAGAUACGGCCCAGACUCCUACGGGAGGCAGCAGUGGGGAAUAUUGCACAAUGGGCGGAAGCCUGAUGCAGCAACGCCGCGUGCGGGAUGACGGCCUUCGGGUUGUAAACCGCUUUCGCCUGUGACGAAGCGUGAGUGACGGUAAUGGGUAAAGAAGCACCGGCUAACUACGUG